UGAUAACGGUGAACAAAAACAUUUAAAUGUUUCGGGAAUAGAGUUUAUUAAUUCAUUUGUAUUUCACAAUUCCGAAAAUGUUCUCAACUUUCGAAUUUCAAAUAAUUCGCGCCAGAGUACAUCUUGCACCUACACCGCUCCCUUUCGCCAAGUUCACUAACGUUCGAAUAAUCUCGUUACCAGUUGCAUUUUCGUGGUUUUGAAUUUACAUACAAUAAUUUCUCGUUUUAUCUAAUUAUCGUGAUAAUUUCUUAUAGUGGAUGUAUUUAAAUUUUAUCAGAGUAUAUUUUAAACUGGCAUCAUGCAAUAACCAACGAUUAUUUAAUAAAAGAAAGUAAUACAUGUUGACUAUAAUAUGUAUUACUAUCUUUUUCGAGUUUAACAGAGUCGUUGAUGACGUACUUCCUUCUUGUUCACUUUAUCACUUUUCACUGGUGUACUGCAUUUUCUACCGUUCGUAGAUGUUAUGUGCAUUUUUGAUAAAAAAAAUUGGAAAGAGUAAUGGUACAUACAAAAUUUGUAUCACAAUAGGUUCUGGAAUUACGAUUUUAUCCGUGAUGUACUUUGGAAUAGACUGUUUCCAGCCUUUACCAAUGCCAAAUACUGUUUCGUCCAGCUGUUCAACCUACACACAGACGAUGCAUUUCUUUUUGUCUUUGUUUCCAAGAGAUUGACUUUGAAUGAGAAGGAGAAAGACAACACUGAAGUUGAUUUGGAUGUUAUGCAGCAACCAGUAUCUACAAUGGUAUUGUGGUUUUUUCUGGACUUUGUAUUCUGUUGUUGUCCUCAUCUUGCAGCAUUAUGCAGUUAAGUUUGGGCCGAUGAAAGAGAACAACGGGAAAUUUUUUUUAAAAGCACUAAACGUGUUACCAUUCUUCCUGGGCUUGGCUUGCCCUUCACACUUGUAAAACUUUGGAACAUUGCAUUCUACAGUUAAUUAAGAUUGAUCAAGUAAGAAAAUUAAAGUUCAUGUUGGUUGCAUCUAAAUAACCAAUUUCUACAUUGGAGGCAUAAUGCAGUUAAUUUUGGGCUGAUGAGAUAGAACUGGAAAUUUAUUUGGAAACCAAACAUGUCAUUGUUCGUUCAUUUGACUUGCUCUUCACACUUGUAAAACUCUGGAACGUUGCAUUCUUCAUUUAUUUAAGGUGAGAAUAUAUGAUGUGAUUGGUAUUAAUGUUCUUUAUUAAUUUGUUUUGGUGUUUAUUUUAAUAUCUACUGUUCUUAGCACAAAUUGAGGUUAUCGUACAUCUAUGGUAAUUCAUUCAGCAGUUAUCUAUUGUCCUUAGUAAAUUGACAUUGUUCAUUUUUGUUCAUAAAAUAAAUUGAGAUUGUGAAUCUAUGAUUGUUUCACAUUUAUCUAUGCUAUGAUGUAAAUUGACAGUUGUUGCCAUCUUAUAAUUCUGUCAUUUUAUUUGCGUUUUGAUGCAUAUUUUGUUGUAUUUCGUAUCUUAUUUAUGUGACAGUGUAAUUAAUUAGUACUUUCUUUUAGGUGUUUAAUGCCUUCCG
This is a long non-coding RNA of Agrilus planipennis (emerald ash borer), 1506 nucleotides long. RefSeq lists it as uncharacterized. The transcript is spliced from 4 exons. The record is from RefSeq and is a predicted model, not a curated record. NCBI's taxonomy places the organism in Eukaryota, Metazoa, Arthropoda, Insecta, Coleoptera, Buprestidae.